RNAcentral lists this ribosomal RNA (497 nucleotides) under uncultured bacterium. Its description in RNAcentral is "partial 16S ribosomal RNA". It matches the Rfam family "Bacterial small subunit ribosomal RNA", at positions 28 to 507 of the family's 1533-position model. The record is from RNAcentral.
GAUGAAUGCUGGCGGCGUGCCUAAUACAUGCAAGUCGAGCGAACGGACGAGAAGCUUGCUUUUCUGAUGUUAGCGGCGGACGGGUGAGUAACACGUGGAUAACCUACCUAUAAGACUGGGAUAACUUCGGGAAACCGGAGCUAAUACCGGAUAAUAUUUUGAACCGCAUGGUUCAAAAGUGAAAGAUGGUCUUGCUGUCACUUAUAGAUGGAUCCGCGCUGCAUUAGCUAGUUGGUAAGGUAACGGCUUACCAAGGCAACGAUGCAUAGCCGACCUGAGAGGGUGAUCGGCCACACUGGAACUGAGACACGGUCCAGACUCCUACGGGAGGCAGCAGUAGGGAAUCUUCCGCAAUGGGCGAAAGCCUGACGGAGCAACGCCGCGUGAGUGAUGAAGGUCUUCGGAUCGUAAAACUCUGUUAUUAGGGAAGAACAUAUGUGUAAGUAACUGUGCACAUCUUGACGGUACCUAAUCAGAAAGCCACGGCUAACUACGUG